Molecule: ribosomal RNA, 274 nt
Filed under: uncultured bacterium
Lineage: Bacteria
Description: partial 16S ribosomal RNA
Rfam family: Archaeal small subunit ribosomal RNA
Source: RNAcentral
AUACCAGCCCCGCGAGCGGUCGGGGUGCUUACUGGGCCUAAAGCGCCCGUAGCCGGCUCGGCAAGUCUCCUCCUAAAGCCCCGGGCUCAACCCGGGGACUGGAGGAGAUACUGCCGGGCUAGGGGGCGGGAGAGGCCGAGGGUACUCCCGGGGUAGGGGCGAAAUCCACUAAUCCCGGGAGGACCACCAGUGGCGAAGGCGCUCGGCUGGAACGCGUCCGACGGUGAGGGGCGAAAGCCGGGGGAGCGAACCGGAUUAGAAACCCCAGUAGUCC